GCUUGGAAGGGAUAGCUCAGUAAGUAGAGCAUGAGAUUAUUAAUCUCAAGGUUCUGAUUUCAAGCCCCACAUUGCAGGUG
Molecule: non-coding RNA, 80 nt
Organism: Podarcis lilfordi (Lilford's wall lizard)
Lineage: Eukaryota; Metazoa; Chordata; Lepidosauria; Squamata; Lacertidae
Source: the annotation of a GenBank genome assembly